RNAcentral lists this long non-coding RNA (200 nucleotides) under Dunaliella salina. RNAcentral describes it as "long non-coding RNA (DSAL_LNC000436)". The record is from RNAcentral. Lineage: Eukaryota; Viridiplantae; Chlorophyta; Chlorophyceae; Chlamydomonadales; Dunaliellaceae.
GCUGGAGCUCAGUUAUUUUGUGCCUGAUGUAGUAAUGCGCAGUGUUGCUGUGGGGCGAGGUGGAGAGGUAAUGGUUGAUAAUCAUGCAAUUGAAGUUGCCUGUGUGCUCACGGUAGAAGUGCUUUAGGGAAAGAUGUUGCAGGUUUCUCCUCCUGAGUGUGUCUUCCAGUUUUUGAAUGUGGUCAAGGAUGGAAUUCCCA